GAGGCUCAACGGACUGUUGAGAAUUCUUCUUGCCGCCUGAACUUUGGCCGGGCAUUUGGACGGCCAAACAACGUCUGUUUUGGCUCAAAUUUUGAAGAAGUGUUCUACUCGACGAGAGAAAUGAUUCUAUGGUGGUAGGGGAAUUCUUAUAUCUGUGGUAAGGGAACCUAACCCUUUAAAUAAUUGUGUUUUUCAUUGAAAAAAAAUUAUAAACUUUGUCAUUAUGAGUUAAGUAGGUAAUAUUGGUGUUGUAGGAAUUUUUUUGGAUUUUUUUGUAAUUUUGGGAAUUCUUUUUAGUUGAUAAAUAAUUGUUUUGGGUUGUUAAAAAUUAUUAGAAGUGUGGGACAAUUCCGAAAUUAGGGUACAAUUUCAAAUCUAGUGAUAUGUGAAUUUUUUAUAAUUGGUUGGAAUAUUUUUGGUAAUUUUAUUGUGAAAAAUUAAUUAUUUUCGAAUAUUGAAAAUUAUUAGAAUUAUUGGAAAAUUCCGAAAGUGUGGUAUAAUUUCAAGUUUAUUGAUAUGUGAAUUUUUGAAAAUUUGUUGGGAUAUUUUUGAGAAUUUUAACGUGGAAAAUUUAUUUUAUUGGAUUAUUAGGAAUGUUGGAAUUGUUGAAAUUGUUGGAAUUGUUGAAAUUGUUGAAAUUAUUGAGAAAUUUUGGAAUUGUGGCAUUCAUUUGCAUCAUGGUUGUGUGAAGAAAGGAUAAAAAUUGUGAAAAGUGUAUGAAAUGGAAAAAGAAAGGAAAAAAAAUAAAAUAGUGAUGAAAAGUGAAAGCCCGUGUGAAGCGAAUUAAGAAGGGAGAGAAAUCCCUAGGGUAAAAGACCCAAAAGUCUAUCCCGGGAAGACUCCGAAUGGGGAGUGUAUUUGGGUGCGAACGCGUAUCCUUCGGUGAAAGUCCGAGAACGAUAGUGCAUUGUAUGACUGUGUGUCACACGUUCAUAUGCAUUUCAUUUAAUUGUUGAAUGUUGUGGAAUUGUGUAUAAUAUUAGAUAUUAAAUUAUGUGGUUUGAUUAAUACCGUAAAAAUGUUUCUUUUGUGCUAUUUGAAACUUAAUAAUCCCCAUUAACCCCUUGGGUGUUAGGCACCCUACUGAGCAAUGUGAAAUGCUCACCCCUUCUUUUUUACAUCUUUUUAGAUGCAGAUAUCAUUCCUGAGGAUCCACAUGUGAGGCAGGGAGGACUUCAGGAUGCCCCUAGAGUGGUCUAGUGGAGCGUGUCUUAUCUAUUGUGUUUGUGCUAUUGGGACUUGUUUUAAUAAAUUGUGAACUAUGGAUAUGUAAUGAGACCCUAAUUUGAUUAAGCUGUUUAACUAUGAACUUUUAUUUUGGACUGUAAUGAUAAUUAAUACAUCUUGUUGCUUUUGAGCAAUGUUUGGGAUAUUAUUGGUUGAUGAAAACUCUAGUGUGAG
This 1401-nucleotide long non-coding RNA is filed under the name Vitis vinifera (wine grape). RNAcentral describes it as "long non-coding RNA (VVIN_LNC004155)". The record is from RNAcentral. Lineage: Eukaryota; Viridiplantae; Streptophyta; Magnoliopsida; Vitales; Vitaceae.